RNAcentral lists this ribosomal RNA (1000 nucleotides) under uncultured bacterium. RNAcentral describes it as "bacterial SSU rRNA". It matches the Rfam family "Bacterial small subunit ribosomal RNA", at positions 355 to 1375 of the family's 1533-position model. The record is from RNAcentral.
UGGGGGAUAUUGCGCAAUGGGGGAAACCCUGACGCAGCAACGCCGCGUGAAGGAAGAAGGUCUUCGGAUUGUAAACUUCUUUUGUCAGGGACGAAGAAAGUGACGGUACCUGACGAAUAAGCUCCGGCUAACUACGUGCCAGCAGCCGCGGUAAAACGUAGGGUGCAAGCGUUGUCCGGAAUUACUGGGUGUAAAGGGAGCGCAGGCGGGAAGACAAGUUGGAAGUGAAAACCAUGGGCUCAACCCAUGAAUUGCUUUCAAAACUGUUUUUCUUGAGUAGUGCAGAGGUAGAUGGAAUUCCCGGUGUAGCGGUGGAAUGCGUAGAUAUCGGGAGGAACACCAGUGGCGAAGGCGGUCUACUGGGCACCAACUGACGCUGAGGCUCGAAAGCAUGGGUAGCAAACAGGAUUAGAUACCCUGGUAGUCCAUGCCGUAAACGAUGAUUACUAGGUGUUGGGGGAUUGACCCCCUCAGUGCCGCAGUUAACACAAUAAGUAAUCCACCUGGGGAGUACGACCGCAAGGUUGAAACUCAAAGGAAUUGACGGGGGCCCGCACAAGCAGUGGAGUAUGUGGUUUAAUUCGAAGCAACGCGAAGAACCUUACCAGGUCUUGACAUCCGAUGCAUAACACAGAGAUGUGUGAAAUCCUUCGGGACAUCGAGACAGGUGGUGCAUGGUUGUCGUCAGCUCGUGUCGUGAGAUGUUGGGUUAAGUCCCGCAACGAGCGCAACCCUUAUUGCCAGUUACUACGUUAAGAGGACUCUGGCGAGACUGCCGUUGACAAAACGGAGGAAGGUGGGGAUGACGUCAAAUCAUCAUGCCCUUUAUGACCUGGGCUACACACGUACUACAAUGGCGUUAAACAAAGAGAAGCAAGACCGCGAGGUGGAGCAAAACUCAAAAACAACGUCUCAGUUCAGAUUGCAGGCUGCAACUCGCCUGCAUGAAGUCGGAAUUGCUAGUAAUCGCGGAUCAGCAUGCCGCGGUGAAUACGUUCCC